RNAcentral lists this long non-coding RNA (489 nucleotides) under Sus scrofa (pig). RNAcentral's name for it is "lncRNA (ENSSSCG00015080006.1, ENSSSCG00040064182.1)". The record is from RNAcentral. Lineage: Eukaryota; Metazoa; Chordata; Mammalia; Artiodactyla; Suidae.
GUUUUUCCUAAUUCAGGCAACCUUUCAGAGUCUCAUUUUGACAGUGAAGAAGACUGGUCCACCUGUGUCAUUGACCGGAACUGUGACCCGUGUCUAUGUCUCUAUCAAUCCUUAGCAAGGGGGUAUAACUGCCAUGCAUGACUUGCAUCACUGUGUGGACCACUCCUGAGGUUUCCUACUGCACCCAGAAUUUCUACAAAUAUUUCUUUGUAGAAAAGUAGCACUUUAAGAACAAAGAGGCACCAUAAAACAGCAACAGCGACCCACUGCAGAUUCUCCUCCAAACAGGAAUAUGGCAAAGGCGUGGUUCUGAUCCAGGAAGGGGAAGGAUCCCCAAGUUGUGAAGGCUGAAGAUCAAAUUGCCAAGUGGAAUCCCAUCCAUCACGGGGACCAACACCAGCCAUCUGCUCCCCACCACCACCUUCAAAGAGCGCAUGGAAGCUGGGCAGCUGGCUGGCAGCUGGAAGGAGGGCAAGAUGGCCUGGCCAG